RNAcentral lists this long non-coding RNA (3471 nucleotides) under Lactuca sativa (garden lettuce). RNAcentral's name for it is "long non-coding RNA (LSAT_LNC010212)". Lineage: Eukaryota; Viridiplantae; Streptophyta; Magnoliopsida; Asterales; Asteraceae. The record is from RNAcentral.
AAAAUGAGUGAUAUCUCUCUCUGACGACUCACACUCAUAUUGGAGGUGUUCAACUAUGCUUUUCCUGAAAGUCACUUAGUCUCAUUAUUAGAUAAUCAAUCACAUAAGACUGGUUUCGACAUUACUCAACGGGUUUCUUCAUUCAUGUCAUUAACGUUCACUCUCUCUCCGCUGGGAAAUACAUGUAGAGGGGUUUAACAAUUUUCAUAGUGCAAUUUGCAUCUAAAAAUCUUCAGUGAUGAAGGCUACAAUAUCCCGGGAAAUCCAAUGUUGUUGCAGCUUCUUCUUUGAUAGUAUCAUGUUUGUUGAUCAAUAUCGAUUUACUGUAAAAAGAUAUUUUGUUUUAGCAUUGAGAAUUUGCUACAUUUGAGAAUUUUUUUUUGUGAGAGUAUCUGUCUUGAGUGAUUAAGAUAUCUUCUUUCGUGAAAAAUGGUUAAAAACAUAUCAUGGGAUCUUAUGAUGUUUGUUUUGAACUAACCAUUUGGUUGAAAAGUUUGUUUGAAAAUACCAAAUGUAGAAUAUUUUUGUUUUCUUUGGUAUUUCUUCGGUGAAUGAUUUGGCCUUUUUUUGUUGAUUCGUCUUUAUCUUGAUUCGUCUUUAACGAUUGGAUGUGGAUAGAUCUUUGUUUUUCUUUGAUAAGUGAUUGUUGAAGUCCUUUUCGUUUCGUCUUUUCUUGUUGAUGGAUCACGGGAUCUCAAGACUUCAUUUUUUGGUUGGCUUAUAUCUAGGUAGGGAUUGGUGGCAUAAAAGACAGUUUGUCUAGUAUGUAAGAAAUGAAUGUAUCGUCCCUGGUCAUUUUGAUAUCUAAGCAAAAAAGAGACCAUGACAAGGUAUAAUCGGGUAUACCUUAUAAGCAAUAGUGACACACUGUAACAUACACGUUUUGAAAUCGUGUUUUAAGUAAAUAAUAUUAUGAAAUAUUAAGUGAAAUUGAAUGUUGAGUUCUAACAGAUAGUUUUUACUAGAAAUGAAGUAAAACUAUGUUUAGAAUCACUCAUAAAAUGUUGGAAGUCUUAUGAGAUUCCAAUUAAAAGCCAAAUAGUGAAAUUUAGCGAAAAUAUAAAAUUUGGAAUAAGUAAAAUUUUAUCAUUGAAAGUUGUAGAUAAUCUCAUUAGAAACAUUUAGGCGAAAACCUCAUCGAAAUCCGAGUUAUAACGAAGAAGUUAUGACCAAACGAAGAUUCGUGAUAAAUCCGGAAAAUACUUUGUCGCGUAAAAAUUUAGUUUUCGAUAAACUAUUUUUUAGCCUUAGUAAUCUAAACGAAAGUUAUAGAACUCGUGAAAAUAAUCAACUUUCAUAUAAAGACCGUUUGAAUCCGACUUCGUAUGAGGCAGUUAUGAUUUUUCGAAGUUUCAGCUUAGCAGUAGACAGCUAAAAACUCGAAUUUUAGAUCGAGUGAUUUUUAGCCGACACAACCUAAACGAGAAUUGAAGGUCUCGUCAUUAGUAGUGCAACGGUAAAAAGUCUGACGAAAACGGACGUCGGAUGAAGAAGUUAUGAAUUUUUAACGGAUUUUCCUGUCCCGGUCUGUUAAAAAUAAUAAUAUUAAAAUUAAAGUCAAAAUUAGCCGACGAAGUCUAAACGAAAGUUGUAGAGCAUAAUUUUAGCNGACUUGAAGAUCUCGUCAAUAGUAGUACAACGGUAAAAAGUCUGACGAAAACGGACGUCGGAUGAAGAAGUUAUGAAUUUUUAAUUGAUUUUCCUGUCCCGGUCUGUUAAAAAAUAAUAAUAAUAAAAUUAAAAUCAAAAUUAGCCAACAAAGUCUAAACGAAAGUUGUAGAGCAUAAUUUUAGCUUCGCGUGCAUAUAAAGAACGUCAAAAACGGAGCUCGUAUGUGAAAGUUAUGGAUUUUACAAGAUUUGGCGCGUUUUUCGAGAAAUUUCGCAUGAAUAGUGAUUGCCACGUCACCCUCGCUCGGAGUUGGCCACGUGUCCGAAGCUGCUGCGUGGCAAUGCCCGAGAAGCGACGCGUGUCGCACAGAUGUCCGGAAGGCCACAUGAUCCUCGCAUGUCACACGUGAUCCUCGCAUGCCACACGUGAUCCGACCCUCGUGUCAUCCUCCCAUUGGACCGAAGCUACUAUCUGCGAGCCAGCUGUUCCGACCCUCGCACCCGUAGCCUCGCCCUGCUGCCACCUGGUCCGAGCCUCGCAUACACGUGCCCUCUUCCCUUUGCUUCGGAUCCAAACCUCGGCCCUAUAUAAGGGGUGCGAACCCUCUCGACUAACUUUAGAAAUUUCACACUUUUUCACUUUUUUUUUCAAUACUUUUACUAUCCCGACAUUCCCCGAAGCCCCGGUACUGAUUCCAAAGCCCGAAACACGCCCCGAGACUCCCGAGAAGCCCGAAAAAUUUAUCUUUUCGGUUUCGAAGCUCUACCUUCNAACGCUCAUAGGUAUAGCUCACACUUCACUUGGGUGUUUAGUUGUUCUGGCAGCAGAACAAGUUAAUGAUCACUAAAAAUGAGUGAUAUCUCUCUCUGACGACUCACACUCAUAUUGGAGGUGUUCAACUAUGCUUUUCUUGAAAGGUCACUUAGUCUCAUUAUUAGAUAAUCAAUCACAUAAGACUGGUUUCGGCAUUACUCAGCGGGUUUCUUCAUUCAUGCCAUUAACUUUCUCUCUCUCUCCGUCGGGAAAUACAUGUAGAGGGGUUUAGCAAUUUUCAUAGUGCAGUUUGCAACUAAGAACUUUCAUUGAUGAAGGCUACAGUAUCCCGGGAAAUCCUUUGUUGUUGCAGCUUUUUCUUUGAUGGUAUCCUUUUUGUUGAUCAAUAUCCUUUUUGUUGUAAAAGGAUAUUUUGUUUUAGCAUCGAGAAUUUGCUACAUUUGAGAAAAUUGGGAUUUUUGAGAGUAUCUAUCUUGCGGGAUUAAGAUAUCCCUUUUUGUGAAAAAUGGUUAAAAACAGAUCACGAGAUCUUUUGAUGUUUGCUUUGAAAUAACCAUUUGAUUGAACUUUGUUUGAAAAUACCAAAUGUAGAGUUUUUUUUUGUUUUGUUUGGUAUUUCUUCGGUGAAUGAUUUGGCUUUCUUGUUGAUUCCUUUUUAUCUUGUUUCGUCUUUUCUUGUUGAUGGAUCACGGGAUCUCAAGACAUCAUUUUUGGUUGGCUUAUAUCUAGGUAGGGAUUAGUGGCAUAAAAGACAGUUUGUCUAGUAUGUAUGAAAUGAAUGUAUCGUCCCUGGUCAUUUUGAUAUCUAAGCAAAAAUGAGACCGUGACAAGGUAUAAUCGGAUAUACCUUAUAAGCAAUAGUGACACACCUAAGCUCACAAGAAAUGAAUUCCACAAUGAUUCAGAUUGAUGAGGCACAAAUUCUCACAUGGGUUUUUGUUUUCAUCUGAACCUCCUAACCUUAUGUCCCUUUUUAAAAUCAUCAAUAAUGAAAUAAAAUUGAAGGAAAUAAAGUUAUAUACAUUAUGAAAAGUAGGAGAUUUGAACCUUCACUCCAAUUGAGAAUCAAUAUGACUUAAAAUCUUC